CCUACGGGAGGCUGCAGUAGGGAAUCUUCCACAAUGGGCGAAAGCCUGAUGGAGCAACGCCGCGUGGGUGAAGAAGGUCUUCGGAUCGUAAAACCCUGUUGUUAGAGAAGAAAGUGCGUGAGAGUAACUGUUCACGUUUCGACGGUAUCUAACCAGAAAGCCACGGCUAACUACGUGCCAGCAGCCGCGGGAAUACGUCGGUGGCAAGCGUUAUCCGGAUUUAUUGGGCGUAAAGGGGACGCAGGCGGUCAUUUAAGUCUGCUGUGAAAGCCUUCGGCUUAACCGGAGUAGUGCAUUGGAAACUGGGAGGCUUGAGUGCAGGAGGGGAAAGUGGAACUCCAUGUGUAGCGGUGAAAUGCGUAGAUAUAUGGAAGAACACCAGUGGCGAAAGCGGCUCUCUGGUCUGUAACUGACGCUGAGGUUCGAAAGCGUGGGUAGCAAACAGGAUUAGAUACCCCAGUAGUC
Molecule: ribosomal RNA, 465 nt
Filed under: uncultured bacterium
Lineage: Bacteria
Description: partial 16S ribosomal RNA
Rfam family: Bacterial small subunit ribosomal RNA
Source: RNAcentral